This 482-nucleotide ribosomal RNA is filed under the name uncultured bacterium. Its description in RNAcentral is "partial 16S ribosomal RNA". It matches the Rfam family "Bacterial small subunit ribosomal RNA", at positions 28 to 523 of the family's 1533-position model. The record is from RNAcentral.
GACGAACGCUGGCGGCGUGCUUAACACAUGCAAGUCGAACGAUGAUGCCCAGCUUGCUGGGUGGAUUAGUGGCGAACGGGUGAGUAACACGUGAGUAACCUGCACCUGACCCUGGGAUAAGCGCUGGAAACGCAGUCCAAUAUUGGAUAUGACUGCCGGACGCAUGGACUGGUGUGGGAAAGCUUGUUUGGAUGGGGUUGGACUCGCGGCCUAUCAGCUUGUUGGUGAGGUAAUGGCUUAUCAAGGCGACGACGGGUAGCCGGCCUGAGAGGGUGACCGGCCACACUGGGACUGAGACACGCCCAGACUCCUACGGGUGGCAGCAGUGGGGAAUAUUGCACAAUGGGCGAAAGCCUGAUGCAGCAACGCCGCGUGAGGGAUGACGGCCUUCGGGUUGUAAACCUCUUUUAGUAGGGAAGAAGCGAAAGUGACGGUACCUGCAGAAAAAGCACCGGCUAACUACGUGCCAGCCGCCGCCGUAA